CUACGGGCGGCUGCAGUGGGGAAUAUUGCACAAUGGGGGAAACUCUGAUGCAGCAACGCCGCGUGGAGGAUGACACUUUUCGGAGCGUAAACUCCUUUUAUAUAGGAAGAAGAUGACGGUACUAUAUGAAUAAGCGCCGGCUAACUCCGUGCCAGCAGCCGCGGUAAUACGGAGGGCGCAAGCGUUACUCGGAAUCACUGGGCGUAAAGAGCGUGUAGGCGGAUUAAAAAGUCAGAAGUGAAAUCCUAUAGCUUAACUAUAGAACUGCUUCUGAAACUCUUAAUCUAGAAUAUGGGAGAGGUAGAUGGAAUUUCUGGUGUAGGGGUAAAAUCCGUAGAGAUCAGAAGGAAUACCGAUUGCGAAGGCGAUCUACUAGAACAUUAUUGACGCUGAGACGCGAAAGCGUGGGGAGCAAACAGGAUUAGAUACCCUCGUAGUC
This 439-nucleotide ribosomal RNA is filed under the name uncultured bacterium. RNAcentral describes it as "partial 16S ribosomal RNA". It matches the Rfam family "Bacterial small subunit ribosomal RNA", at positions 339 to 795 of the family's 1533-position model. The record is from RNAcentral.